ACCCUGAUAGCUUAUGUGGUUAAAGCGUAGAACUGAAGAUUCUAAGAACUAUGUUCGAGUCAUGGUCGGGGUA
RNAcentral lists this transfer RNA (73 nucleotides) under Malassezia slooffiae. Its description in RNAcentral is "tRNA-Phe". It matches the Rfam family "tRNA". From Rfam's summary of the family: Transfer RNA (tRNA) molecules are approximately 80 nucleotides in length. Their secondary structure includes four short double-helical elements and three loops (D, anti-codon, and T loops). Further hydrogen bonds mediate the characteristic L-shaped molecular structure. tRNAs have two regions of fundamental functional importance: the anti-codon, which is responsible for specific mRNA codon recognition, and the 3' end, to which the tRNAs corresponding amino acid is attached (by aminoacyl-tRNA synthetases). tRNAs cope with the degeneracy of the genetic code in two manners: having more than one tRNA (with a specific anti-codon) for a particular amino acid; and 'wobble' base-pairing, i.e. permitting non-standard base-pairing at the 3rd anti-codon position. Lineage: Eukaryota; Fungi; Basidiomycota; Malasseziomycetes; Malasseziales; Malasseziaceae. The record is from RNAcentral.